RNAcentral lists this long non-coding RNA (753 nucleotides) under Salvia miltiorrhiza (redroot sage). RNAcentral's name for it is "long non-coding RNA (SMIL_LNC004400)". Lineage: Eukaryota; Viridiplantae; Streptophyta; Magnoliopsida; Lamiales; Lamiaceae. The record is from RNAcentral.
CGUCCGUCAACAUAUGUUAUUUCCUCCUCACUCUCCAAGAAUUCUCUACGCUGUUAACAAUACUGGUAAAUUUUCUCGUGUUUCCCUGUACAAAUGAAUAUCCACUGAAAAAGUUUACGCCAUUACGAGAAAAGCGAAUUGUUUACUUUUCUUUUUUUCUUCAGCUUUUGGAUGUUUUAGGGCCAAAUAUUAGGCGUAUUGAUGCUGCGGUAAUUCUAUAUGGGCGAAUUUGAUUCAUAUCAUGUUGGAUUAUUAGCGUGAUUCAAUGCCAUAAAUGUAAUUUCAUGUUGGAUUAUUAGCGUGAUUUAAUGCCAUAAAUGAAAUGGUAAAUUGCAAUUAAUUUGCGCGGAGGAUUGAAUUUGCUUUAUGAUAAUUCAUCAUCUCUUGCUGCUUUGUUUCUUAUGCUUUGUGGUUUUGUAGUGAUUACUGGUUAAGCAAAAUUGAGACGCUAUAUUGAAAUAUUAAUAUAAGCUGAUGGUUUAUUGGUUCGUGCUCGAUGAUUACUGCUUUGUUUCUUGAUUUGCCGUAAGGUAAGGAGAAUUCGAUGGAAAUAUCAUUAGUUUUUUAAGGUUGUGUUAUCUUUAGUUGUAAAUUUAUCAUGAGAAAAAAAGGGAUAAUUUUUUUUUCUACCUUUAAAACCCUCAUUUCUUUUCCCUCAUUUUCUACAAAAGAAAAAUUCGCCGCUUCUCAUUUCCUCAUUUUCACUCCAAAGAGCGAUAAUAUUAUCACCCUAAGUGUAUUUUGCAAUGCAGG